RNAcentral lists this ribosomal RNA (254 nucleotides) under uncultured bacterium. RNAcentral describes it as "partial 16S ribosomal RNA". It matches the Rfam family "Bacterial small subunit ribosomal RNA", at positions 524 to 776 of the family's 1533-position model. The record is from RNAcentral.
UACGAAGGGGGCUAGCGUUGUUCGGAAUCCCUGGGCGUAAAGCGCACUCAGGCUGGUCGUUAAGCUAGGGGUGAAAUCCCGAGGCUCAACCUCGGAACUGCCUUUGAUACUGGCGAUCUUUGAGUCCGGGAGAGGUGAGUGGAACUCCGAGUGUAGAGGUGAAAUUCGUAGAUAUUCGGAAGAACACCAGUGGCGAAGGCGGCUCACUGGCCCGGUACUGACGCUCAUGUGCGAAAGCGUGGGGAGCAAACAGG